Molecule: long non-coding RNA, 2854 nt
Organism: Cimex lectularius (bed bug)
Lineage: Eukaryota; Metazoa; Arthropoda; Insecta; Hemiptera; Cimicidae
Exons: 4
Source: RefSeq, a predicted model, not a curated record
AGAAAAUUUUAUAAAAAUGAAAGGUCUUAUCCUUGUUUUCGCCGUCAUUGCUACAAGCUGUUUUGCUUCAGUGAUAGAACAAAAUUAUAGCGAUGCUGUUAGAACCGCAUGGAAGGUUUGUAAGACUGAUGAUAUGUCGGAUGAAACAUACUAUAAUAUGACAGAGGGGCAACAAAUGCCAAAAACGAAGGAAUAAAAAGUAAAUGAAUUUUUUUUUAAACUUUUUAUUUUUGCAUCAAUGGCCAUCACCGGCACGGCACGUCUCAUAUUUUUGGGGCUGCACCCGUAUUGGUCAUUAAGCCUUGAGUCAACGGCGCAGCCCGGCCCCCUCAGAGCGAGGCCCCCGCAGAUCCCGGCGCAGUGGCAGCCCCAGGCCUGGAAAGAACGGAACCCCACGGAUCUCUCGCUUUAGUCUUAAUAUUGCGCGCAGGACUUUAUCGAGGUGGGGUCGGUGUCUUGUCACCAUCGACGCCUCCUCUAAGCUCGCUGGAGAUUCCUUGACCUCAGAGUCCGGGGAAGCACCCCUCAAUCCAGCCCAAGACCGACCAGCACCCGAGGACCCGCACGGGCGUCGCCAGAAAUCAGCCGCACCACACCGCUAACAUGGGGAACCAGCAAAGGAAACAAGAGUUGAGGGAAUGGGAUAUUAGAUUUUAUCAAUUAGUUGGAUGUCUGUUAAGAAGUUAAAAAUUUUGUUUAUUGAUGUUGAGUUGUUGCUUAGUAUGGAUUGGAGGUCUUUGGGAAUCUGAUGGAGGGUUCUUUUAGAGGUGUAUAAAGGACAAUCUAUUAGGAUGUGGGAUAUUGUGACGGUAGUUUUACAGAGAGGACAUAUAUGUUUAGGAGUUCUUUCAAGGAGGAAUCUAUGGUUGAGUCGGGAGUGGCCAAUUCGAAGCCGGGUUAGGAGGGUUUCUUCUUUUCGGGAGGGUCUAGAAAAGUAUUCCCAUUUCUUUACAUCUUUCUUUAUUGCGAGGAGCUUGUUUUCUGUGCAGGCACCCCAUUCACACUUCCAUGCCCCCAGAUGAGCCGCCUAAAGUGACAGCAGAGGUCACUGAAGGGGACCCUUCCGUGAGGAACACCACUCAAGGCUGCCUCUCUCGCCAUACGGUCCGCCUUCUCAUUUUCAGUUAUUCCAGCGUGGCUUGGGAUCCAUUUGAAUAAUACUUCUACACCUACGUCUUGAUAUUGCUUUAACUUUGCAAGAAUAUUGUAGAUGUCUGGGUUUAGGGAGAAUGUGUUUUUUAGUGUGGUGAGUGCUCAAAGAGAGUCAGAACAGAUAAUUAGGGUGGUACGGGACACAUUAAUGAUGUUAAUUGCUUUGAGUAUAGCUAGGAGUUCAGCAGUAACUGGUGACUCACAGACAUUAGAAGAUCCAGUUCCAUCCUCAGACCUGGAUCCGUCAGUGAAAACAAAAACUGCUUCUGAAUGUGUAGAUUUGAACAUUAGAAAUUCAUUCUUAAAUAUAUACAGUGGGGUACGAUCCUUAUUGUCAGAAGAGAGUGAGUAGCAAAUGGAAGGAGUGAGGAGGGUCCAUGGGGGGAUGGUGGAUGAAUGCGAUUUUUAGACGUGAGGAACUUCAAUUUUGUAAUCUGUUAGGAAUAUGUGGAUUUUUAGUGGGGAGGAAAAACGUGGGAUGUGCCAGUCAGGAAGGUUUGGUAGAGGGCGUCCAUUUGUAAAAAAGGAAUGGAGAGGGUGAUGGGGUGAAUAGGAUUUUGGCAAAAUAGAAGAGGUCAGACAUGCGGCGUCUAUGUUUUAGUGGGAGUUCACCUGAGUCAACGUGUAUGCUGUUUACAGGGCUAGUACGAAAGGCACCAAUAGCCAUUCUCAGGCCUUGGUUUUGAAUUGGAUUGAUGAUUUCAAGUGUUUUUUCACUGGCUGACCCAUAUGCAACCGAUCCGUACUCAAUCUCAGAUUGGAUAAGAGUUUUGUAUAGCCUUAACAAGCUAUUUCUGUCUGCUCCCCAACGGGUGGAAAUUAAUAGACGGAAGAGGUUCAGUGAUGUUUGACAUGAUUGCUCUCUAUUUUUAAGAUGAAGUUUCCAAUUUAAAUGCUUAUCAAAAAUCAAACCAAGGUAGCGAACAGAGUCUGUGUACCGUAUAACUGCAUUAUGCAUUUUCAGAUUGGGUAGAAAAGAGGGUUGUCUUUUGGAGAAAAGUACAGCGACCGUUUUAGCUUCAGAGGCUUUGGAACCGUUAUUACCGAGCCAACUACUUAUGGAGGACAGAGUAGAUUGAAUUUGUUGUUGAAGUAUGGUUAUAUUUUUGUGUUUGCAGUAUAUUACAAGAUCGUCGGCAUAUAAAAGAGCUUGCACAGGUGAAUCAAUUGAAGUAAGGAUUUGAUUAAAACAUACACUGAAAAGCGUAGCACUUAGGACACAUCCCUGAGGCACACCGUUUUCUUGGGAGAAUUCAUCAGACAUGGCGCUACCACAACGAACCUGAAAACUUCUAUUAUCCAAAAAGUUGGAUAUAAAGUUCAGAAUGUGACCAGAGACACCGAGACGGAUUAAAGAGUCGAGAAUUAGUCGUCGCCAAGUGGGUCAAAUGCAUUCUCGACAUCAAGAAAAACAGCAAGAACUUUUUCUUUGUUGCGGAAGGCAUCCAUUAUACACUCUGACAAAUUGGUAACAGCAAGUGAGAUUCGAGAUACCAAUUAAGUCUUUGGGCUAAUAUUUUUUCAAGAAGUUUACUCAGAGAGCAUGUAAGAGCGAUAUGUCGAUAGCUUGAGGCUAAGAGAGAGGGUUUGUUUUUCUUUAGGAUUGGUAUGUUUACUGCUUUGCCCCAGAUUUUUGGAAAUUUACCUUUUAGAAAAAUCUCAUUGAAAAAGUUAAGUAUAACUUUUUGAUUAUUUUCACUAA